GCCUUCGUAGUGUAGUAGUCAGCACACUCGACGGGUAUUCGAGAGGUCCGCGGUUCGAUUCCCGGCGAGGGCA
This 73-nucleotide transfer RNA is filed under the name Stegodyphus mimosarum. It matches the Rfam family "tRNA". From Rfam's summary of the family: Transfer RNA (tRNA) molecules are approximately 80 nucleotides in length. Their secondary structure includes four short double-helical elements and three loops (D, anti-codon, and T loops). Lineage: Eukaryota; Metazoa; Arthropoda; Arachnida; Araneae; Eresidae. The record is from Rfam by way of RNAcentral.